CUUAUCAAGAAAGGUGGAGGGACAGGCCCUGCGAAACCUUAGCAACCCUUAGCGAAAGCUGAGAAGGUGCUAAUUCCAUUUCGAUUUAUUUCGGAAUCAGAUAAG
RNAcentral lists this non-coding RNA (105 nucleotides) under marine eukaryotic metagenome. RNAcentral's name for it is "SAM riboswitch (S box leader)". It matches the Rfam family "SAM riboswitch aptamer (S box leader)". From Rfam's summary of the family: The SAM riboswitch is found upstream of a number of genes which code for proteins involved in methionine or cysteine biosynthesis in Gram-positive bacteria. The SAM riboswitch acts at the level of transcription termination control. The predicted structure consists of a complex stem-loop region followed by a single stem loop terminator region. The record is from RNAcentral.